UGGGGUUCAUCAUAAUCUUAGACAUAAUAAGAAGCAGUUAAUAUGAUGAAUUAAUGUCUCAAAUAAUAAUAAAUAUCAUUUCAUGAGUUGAAAAAUUGUAAAGAAAGUCUCAUCGCCACACACUUGCGAUUGGCUUAUAAGAUAUUUUUCUUUCAAUCUCCCACUUGCAUUAAAGCUAAUUGCCUUUGUAUCUCAUACAAUCAAGAUGGCGAUCAUAUAGCUGCUGUGGUAUGGCCUUAGUGAAUGGAUCUGCUAUAUUAUUCUUUCUGUCUACUCAUUUAAGGAUAACAUCUUGUCUCUAACGAGAUGAAAAUAUCUGAGGAUGUGCUUGGAUCUAUAAUGAGACCUAGGUUCCUUAUCUUGAAUAAU
RNAcentral lists this long non-coding RNA (369 nucleotides) under Elaeis guineensis (African oil palm). RNAcentral's name for it is "long non-coding RNA (EGUI_LNC080774)". Lineage: Eukaryota; Viridiplantae; Streptophyta; Magnoliopsida; Arecales; Arecaceae. The record is from RNAcentral.